CUGCCCAUCAGAAGGGGAUAACACUUGGAAACAGGUGCUAAUACCGUAUAACACUAUUUUCCGCAUGGAAGAAAGUUGAAAGGCGCUUUUGCGUCACUGAUGGAUGGACCCGCGGUGCAUUAGCUAGUUGGUGAGGUAACGGCUCACCAAGGCCACGAUGCAUAGCCGACCUGAGAGGGUGAUCGGCCGCACUGGGACUGAGACACGGCCCAGACUCCUACGGGAGGCAGCAGUAGGGAAUCUUCGGCAAUGGACGAAAGUCUGACCGAGCAACGCCGCGUGAGUGAAGAAGGUUUUCGGAUCGUAAAACUCUGUUGUUAGAGAAGAACAAGGAUGAGAGUAAAAUGUUCAUCCCUUGACGGUAUCUAACCAGAAAGCCACGGCUAACUACGUGCCAGCAGCCGCGGUAAUACGUAGGUGGCAAGCGUUGUCCGGAUUUAUUGGGCGUAAAGCGAGCGCAGGCGGUUUCUUAAGUCUGAUGUGAAAGCCCCCGGCUCAACCGGGGAGGGUCAUUGGAAACUGGGAGACUUGAGUGCAGAAGAGGAGAGUGGAAUUCCAUAUGUAGCGGUGAAAUGCGUAGAUAUAUGGAGGAACACCAGUGGCGAAGGCGGCUCUCUGGUCUGUAACUGACGCUGAGGCUCGAAAGCGUGGGGAGCGAACAGGAUUAGAUACCCUGGUAGUCCACGCCGUAAAC
RNAcentral lists this ribosomal RNA (694 nucleotides) under uncultured bacterium. Its description in RNAcentral is "bacterial SSU rRNA". It matches the Rfam family "Bacterial small subunit ribosomal RNA", at positions 126 to 807 of the family's 1533-position model. The record is from RNAcentral.